This 425-nucleotide ribosomal RNA is filed under the name uncultured bacterium. Its description in RNAcentral is "partial 16S ribosomal RNA". It matches the Rfam family "Bacterial small subunit ribosomal RNA", at positions 354 to 796 of the family's 1533-position model. The record is from RNAcentral.
GUGGGGAAUCUUGCGCAAUGGGCGAAAGCCUGACGCAGCCAUGCCGCGUGAAUGAUGAAGGUCUUAGGAUUGUAAAAUUCUUUCACCGGGGACGAUAAUGACGGUACCCGGAGAAGAAGCCCCGGCUAACUUCGUGCCAGCAGCCGCGGUAAUACGAAGGGGGCUAGCGUUGCUCGGAAUUACUGGGCGUAAAGGGCGCGUAGGCGGACAGUUUAGUCAGAGGUGAAAGCCCAGGGCUCAACCUUGGAAUUGCCUUUGAUACUGGCUGUCUUGAGUACGGGAGAGGUGAGUGGAACUCCGAGUGUAGAGGUGAAAUUCGUAGAUAUUCGGAAGAACACCAGUGGCGAAGGCGACUCACUGGCCCGUUACUGACGCUGAGGCGCGAAAGCGUGGGGAGCAAACAGGAUUAGAUACCUUGGUAGUCC